Molecule: ribosomal RNA, 401 nt
Filed under: Potamon persicum
Lineage: Eukaryota; Metazoa; Arthropoda; Malacostraca; Decapoda; Potamidae
Description: partial small subunit ribosomal RNA
Source: RNAcentral
AAACUAGGAUUAGAUACCCUAUUAUAUUAAAGUUAAAUUUAUAAAUACUGAAUUAUUAAUAGAUAUUUCUUAAAAUUUAAAGAAUUUGGCGGUAAUUUAGUCUUGUCAGAGGAACCUGUUUUUUAAUCGAUACACCACGUUAUAUCUUACUUAUUUUAAGUAGUUUGUAUACCAUCAUUAGUAGAUAAUUUUAAAAGAACAAAUUAUUAAAAUUAAAUAUAUUAAAAAAAUUAGAUCAAGGUGCAGCUAAUAGAUAAGUUAAAAUGGGUUACAAUAAAAUUUAUUUAUACGAAAUAAUUUAAAAAAAUUAAAUUAUAAAGGUGGAUUUGAUUGUAAUAUAAGCUUAAUAAACUUAUAAGAUAUAAGCUCUAAAUUAUGUACACAUCGCCGGUCACUCUCAG